RNAcentral lists this ribosomal RNA (127 nucleotides) under Enterobacter cancerogenus. RNAcentral describes it as "partial 16S ribosomal RNA". It matches the Rfam family "Bacterial small subunit ribosomal RNA", at positions 1 to 118 of the family's 1533-position model. The record is from RNAcentral. Lineage: Bacteria; Pseudomonadati; Pseudomonadota; Gammaproteobacteria; Enterobacterales; Enterobacteriaceae.
ACUUAAAUUGAAGAGUUUGAUCAUGGCUCAGAUUGAACGCUGGCGGCAGGCCUAACACAUGCAAGUCGAACGGUAGCACAGAGAGCUUGCUCUCGGGUGACGAGUGGCGGACGGGGGAGUAAUGUCU